GUCCCCAUAGCUCAACUGGAUAGAGCGUAGCCCUCCGGAGGCUAAGGUUAGAGGUUCAAAUCCUCUUGGGGAUA
RNAcentral lists this transfer RNA (74 nucleotides) under Tuwongella immobilis. Its description in RNAcentral is "Planctomycetes bacterium MBLW1 tRNA". It matches the Rfam family "tRNA". Rfam says of the family: Transfer RNA (tRNA) molecules are approximately 80 nucleotides in length. Their secondary structure includes four short double-helical elements and three loops (D, anti-codon, and T loops). The record is from Rfam by way of RNAcentral. Lineage: Bacteria; Pseudomonadati; Planctomycetota; Planctomycetia; Gemmatales; Gemmataceae.